ACCGCAUCAGGUCUCCAAGGU
Molecule: small RNA, 21 nt
Filed under: Arabidopsis thaliana (thale cress)
Lineage: Eukaryota; Viridiplantae; Streptophyta; Magnoliopsida; Brassicales; Brassicaceae
Description: Ath_wt_21560
Source: RNAcentral